GUCAGAUAUUUUGGCUGGUCAAAUGGAUAGUAUUACACACUUGUUCUACUUUAAUAGUCAGAAUUCCACAAGGAGGCUUUGUAGUUAUAUUACGUUUAAACUUCAAGUCAAUGCACCUUCUAAUGAAGUUAAUUGUGUCGCCGGUGGGUGUUUUCUGGUCAUCAGUACCAGCGUAUUUACCCCCGCUUCAGUGAGUUUAUCUUGUGUUUAUUGCUGCUCAUACAAGCACCGAAAGGCCUUCUACAGCUGCUGUGGGGCGGUGGAUGUCUGCUAUGGCCGAUGAUACCUCAUUUCAGAUGCCCAGCAGGUGUCGUGUGCUGUUGUGAGUGUGAGUUUCACAAAUUUGGCCUAGCGGAGCAUCACUGCAUGCAAGCACAUGACAGCGCCCAGCUGCAGGGGAGACCCAAAGGACAACAGUAUAAAGUGGUGCAUUUGAAAGCAGAGCUCUUUUCACUGCAGCGUCUCGCUUUGCAAACAUGACACCAGAGGCUCGGGACAGAUGCUGCUCCCUCCAGAACUCCGCGCUCAUCAUUUUAGCCAAGUAGCUGUGACCUGGCGCCGACGCCACAAAACAGGACAAGUAAUUUAAUUUGCCACUGCUGCUGACCUUGAAGCAUUGAAUGUAGGCCGACAGAAUCCCAAUAGGAAAUCUGGAAGAAAAACAUCCUGGGAGCUGAAAUAGCGAUCAGGCUGUUCCGCCUGCAGCAUCACACACAGUCUCGUCACCUCUACAGGGAAACUUUUGUCCUUCAGCUUUGCAUGAAGAAUGUUAAUUUACAGGCCUCCGUCUCUCUCGCCUCCAGUCACGGCCAAUCCAGUAGUGAGCAAGAGCCGGCCUCUGGAGAAAGGGUGAUGAUCCCGACUGAGCUUUUCAUUUAACAAGGAGCUGCAAGGAUUUCCAGAGAACUGCACUGUGGAGAUCAGGAUAAGAGAAAAUAGCGUUCCUAGCUGGCAGCAUCGAGUUUCAGUGGAGCCCCAGGUCAUUAAAGAUAACUUGGCACCAUGUCAGGGCCUGGCUGAGUGGAUUGUGUAAACCAGUCACCCACCAAGGUUAGACACGCUCCUUAUUACACUGUUGUGGUGGACAAUGUGCCUCAGUCCUCUGGAAGAAGUUUGACAUCUACCCACUGAAAGUGUCCCAGCUGACUGAAUAAAUGAGCUCACAAUGUGAGUUAUAGGAAUCACAAUAAAACAUCGACAUGUAAAUGUGCAUGUUUUGACUUUUAGACAUAUGUAAUAUUUCAAACAGAGCGUCCACAUAACAAAUGUUUGACUGUCACCUCACUUGUCUCUCUCUGUCUCUCUCUCUCCAG
This is a long non-coding RNA of Gasterosteus aculeatus aculeatus (three-spined stickleback), 1313 nucleotides long. Lineage: Eukaryota; Metazoa; Chordata; Actinopteri; Perciformes; Gasterosteidae. The record is from Ensembl.